UACGUAGGGUGCGAGCGUUGUUCGGAUUCACUGGGCGUAAAGGGUGCGUAGGUGGCAUGGUAAGUUUGAUGUGAAAGCUCAGGGCUUAACCCUGAAAUGGCAUUGAAUACUACUGUGCUGGAGGUUUGGAGGGGGGACUGGAAUUCUUGGUGUAGCAGUGAAAUGCGUAGAUAUCAAGAGGAACACCAGUGGCGAAGGCGAGUCCCUGGACAACACCUGACACUGAGGCACGAAAGCUAGGGGAGCAAACAGG
This 253-nucleotide ribosomal RNA is filed under the name uncultured bacterium. RNAcentral's name for it is "partial 16S ribosomal RNA". It matches the Rfam family "Bacterial small subunit ribosomal RNA", at positions 524 to 776 of the family's 1533-position model. The record is from RNAcentral.